GACGAACGCUGGCGGCGUGCUUAACACAUGCAAGUCGAGCGGUAAGGCCCUUUCGGGGGUACACGAGCGGCGAACGGGUGAGUAACACGUGAGCAACCUGCCCUUCACUUUGGGAUAACUGCCGGAAACUGUGGCUAAUACCGGAUAUGACUUCCUCACGCAUGCGGGGUGGUGGAAAGCCUUCGGGGGGUGGGGGAUGGGCUCGCGGUCUAUCAGCUUGUUGGUGGGGUGUUGGCCUACCAAGGCUUCGACGGGUAGCCGGCCUGAGAGGGUGACCGGCCACACUGGGACUGCGAGACGGCCCAGACUCCUACGGGAGGCAGCAGUGGGGAAUAUUGGACAAUGGGCGAAAGCCUGAUCCAGCAACGCCGCGUGAGGGAUGACGGCCUUCGGGUUGUAAACCUCUUUCGCCUGCGACGAAGCGAGAGUGACGGUAGCAGGUAAAGAAGCACCGGCCAACUACGUG
This 466-nucleotide ribosomal RNA is filed under the name uncultured bacterium. Its description in RNAcentral is "partial 16S ribosomal RNA". It matches the Rfam family "Bacterial small subunit ribosomal RNA", at positions 28 to 507 of the family's 1533-position model. The record is from RNAcentral.